Molecule: small nucleolar RNA, 184 nt
Filed under: Oryza meridionalis
Lineage: Eukaryota; Viridiplantae; Streptophyta; Magnoliopsida; Poales; Poaceae
Description: snoRNA Plant_U3
Rfam family: Plant small nucleolar RNA U3
About the family: Small nucleolar RNAs (snoRNAs) are involved in the processing and modification of rRNA in the nucleolus. There are two main classes of snoRNAs: the box C/D class, and the box H/ACA class. U3 snoRNA is a member of the box C/D class.
Source: Rfam by way of RNAcentral
ACGACCAUACUUGAACAGGAUCUGCUUAUAAGCACUCAAGUCUGGUCGAUGCGACAUGACCUCCGGGCCAGAGCGUGAUAAACUGCUAGGAUGCUCUCUUUUGAGCCAUCCGACGGCUGUAGAGGAUCGUUCCUGCCUGGGUUCACUCCGGUGCAGGGGUGGCCCAGAGGUUGUCUGACAGACA